CAAUAGCGUAUAUUAAAGUUGUUGCAGUUAAAAAGCUCGUAGUUGGAUUUCGGGGCAGCCUGGCUGGUCCGCCGCAAGGCGAGUACUGGUCAGCCGUCCUUCCUCUCGAAAGCCCCGACUGCUCUUCGUUGCAGUGGUCGGGUAGUUCGGGACGUUUACUUUGAAAAAAUUAGAGUGUUCAAGGCAGGCCUACGCCUGAAUACAUUAGCAUGGAAUAAUGGAAGAGGACCUCGGUCCUAUUUUGUUGGUUUCCAGGGCCGAAGUAAUGAUUAAGAGGGACAGUUGGGGGCAUUCGUAUUUAAUUGUCAGAGGUGAAAUUCUCGGAUUUAUGAAAGACGAACAACUGCGAAAGCAUUUGCCAAGGAUGUUUUCAUUAA
Molecule: ribosomal RNA, 377 nt
Filed under: uncultured eukaryote
Lineage: Eukaryota
Description: partial 18S ribosomal RNA
Rfam family: Eukaryotic small subunit ribosomal RNA
Source: RNAcentral